RNAcentral lists this non-coding RNA (27 nucleotides) under Cricetulus griseus (Chinese hamster). Lineage: Eukaryota; Metazoa; Chordata; Mammalia; Rodentia; Cricetidae. The record is from RNAcentral.
GGUGGAUGAAAGACCUGAGCUAACAUG